AUGGUGGAGGAGCUCAUUGACACAUCCAACUGGACUUGGAAACAUGAGGUGGUUUGGGAGAUUUUCAUUGCCCCGGAUGCUGAGGCCAUUCUUAAUAUUCCUAUUCGGCAAGGGGGAGGGGAUGAUUACCUUGCUUGGGCAUUCGAACGAUCAGGCAACUACACUGUGAAGUUGGCGUACCGUGCUCUUGUGAAUCAGAACGAGCGUUUGGCUCUAGAUGAAGGGACGGCUACCGGUACCUCCAAUGAUGAACAACAGAUGUGGAAAGCCUUGUGGAAAUUGAAUGUUAUCCCAAAAGUGAGAGUCUUU
RNAcentral lists this ribosomal RNA (309 nucleotides) under Triticum aestivum (bread wheat). RNAcentral's name for it is "partial small subunit ribosomal RNA". The record is from RNAcentral. Lineage: Eukaryota; Viridiplantae; Streptophyta; Magnoliopsida; Poales; Poaceae.